Molecule: ribosomal RNA, 783 nt
Filed under: uncultured bacterium
Lineage: Bacteria
Description: bacterial SSU rRNA
Rfam family: Bacterial small subunit ribosomal RNA
Source: RNAcentral
ACGAGAAAGUUCCUUCGGGAGCAAUUAAAGUGGCGCACGGGUGAGUAACGCGUAGACAAUCUGCCCUUCAGUCUGGGACAACUUUUCGAAAGGAGAGCUAAUACCGGAUAACAAUGCAUGACACAAGUUGUAUAUUUGAAAGCUUUAUGUGCUGAAGGAGGGGUCUGCGUCCCAUUAGCUAGUUGGUAAGGUAAAGGCUUACCAAGGCAACGAUGGGUAGCGGGUUUGAGAGGACGAUCCGCCACACUGGAACUGAGACACGGUCCAGACUCCUACGGGAGGCAGCAGUGGGGAAUAUUGCACAAUGGAGGAAACUCUGAUGCAGCAAUGUCGCGUGAGUGAAGAAGGCCCUUGGGUCGUAAAGCUCUUUUAUGGGGGAAGAUGAUGACGGUACCCCAAGAAUAAGCACCGGCUAACUAUGUGCCAGCAGCCGCGGUAAUACAUAGGGUGCGAGCGUUGUUCGGAAUUACUGGGCGUAAAGGGCGCGCAGGCGGAAUAGUAAGUCGGAGGUGAAAGCCCGGGGCUCAACCCCGGAGGGUCUUUCGAAACUACUAAUCUAGAGAGGGUCAGGGGCCGGCAGAAUUCCUGGUGUAGAGGUGAAAUUCGUAGAUAUCAGGAGGAAUACCGGUGGCGAAGGCGGCCGGCUGGGGCCACUCUGACGCUGAGGCGCGAAAGCGUGGGGAGCAAACAGGAUUAGAUACCCUGGUAGUCCACGCCGUAAACGAUGAGCACUGGACGUCCGGAGGGUUCGACCCUUCUGGGUGUCUCAGCUAACGCAUUAAG